RNAcentral lists this ribosomal RNA (497 nucleotides) under uncultured bacterium. RNAcentral's name for it is "partial 16S ribosomal RNA". It matches the Rfam family "Bacterial small subunit ribosomal RNA", at positions 28 to 507 of the family's 1533-position model. The record is from RNAcentral.
GAUGAACGCUGGCGGCGUGCCUAAUACAUGCAAGUCGAGCGAACAGACGAGGAGCUUGCUCCUCUGACGUUAGCGGCGGACGGGUGAGUAACACGUGGAUAACCUACCUAUAAGACUGGGAUAACUUCGGGAAACCGGAGCUAAUACCGGAUAAUAUAUUGAACCGCAUGGUUCAAUAGUGAAAGACGGUUUUGCUGUCACUUAUAGAUGGAUCCGCUCCGCAUUAGCUAGUUGGUAAGGUAACGGCUUACCAAGGCGACGAUGAGUAGCCGACCUGAGAGGGUGAUCAGCCACACUGGAACUGAGACACGGUCCAGACUCCUACGGGAGGCAGCAGUAGGGAAUCUUGCGCAAUGGGCGAAAGCCUGACGGAGCAACGCCGCGUGAGUGAUGAAGGUCUUCGGAUCGUAAAACUCUGUUAUUAGGGAAGAAAAAAUGUGUAAGUAACUAUGCACGUCUUGACGGUACCUAAUCAGAAAGCCCCGGCUAACUACGUG